CAGGCCUAACACAUGCAAGUCGAGCGGGCCCUUCGGGGUCAGCGGCGGACGGGUGAGUAACGCGUGGGAACGUGCCUUCUGGUUCGGAAUAACCCUGGGAAACUAGGGCUAAUACCGGAUACGCCCUUAUGGGGAAAGGUUUACUGCCGGAAGAUCGGCCCGCGUCUGAUUAGCUAGUUGGUGGGGUAACGGCCUACCAAGGCGACGAUCAGUAGCUGGUCUGAGAGGAUGAUCAGCCACACUGGGACUGAGACACGGCCCAGACUCCUACGGGAGGCAGCAGUGGGGAAUAUUGGACAAUGGGCGCAAGCCUGAUCCAGCCAUGCCGCGUGAGUGAUGAAGGCCUUAGGGUUGUAAAGCUCUUUUAUCCGGGACGAUAAUGACGGUACCGGAGGAAUAAGCCCCGGCUAACUUCGUGCCAGCAGCCGCGGUAAU
RNAcentral lists this ribosomal RNA (435 nucleotides) under uncultured bacterium. RNAcentral describes it as "bacterial SSU rRNA". It matches the Rfam family "Bacterial small subunit ribosomal RNA", at positions 43 to 524 of the family's 1533-position model. The record is from RNAcentral.